AAAGUAAAAUAGGGAUGAAAGUACUGUUCACAUGGACAAUGUUAUGAGAUGAAACUGGUUUGAAAGGACUUUGCUCUUAACUGUAAUAAACCGAGUGUGUGCUGAUUUUCUAACAUGGAUUUGUUUUUCGGUCUAGGGCUUCCCUGGUUUCACAGUGGUUAAGAAUCCACCUGACAAUGCAGGGGACACGGGUUCAAGCCCUGGUCCGGGAAGAUCCCCCAUGCGGCGGAGCAACUAAGCCCGUGUGCCACAACUACUGAGCCCGUGUGCCACAACUACUGAGCCUGCGCGCCUAGAGCCCGUGCUCUGCAACAAGAGAAGCCACUGCAAUGAAAAGCCCGUGCACCGCAACGAAGAGCAGCCCCCGCUCGCCACAACUAGAGAAAGCCCACGCGCAGCAAUGAAGACCCAACGCAGCCAAAAAAAACAAAAAAACAAAAAAACAAAAAAACAGGUCUAAGAGGUUUCACACGUAACCAUCUCCUCCUUGCACUCUCUCCUGGGUCUCUACCCUGCUGGUCUUCUCUGCCUAAACUACUAUAUAUAAAAUAGAUAACUAAUAAUAACCUGCUGUAUAGCACAAGGAACUCUACUCAAUACUCUGUAAUGGCCUACAUGGGAAAAGAAUCUUAAAAAAAAAAAGAGUGGAUGUAUGUAUAUGUAUAACUGAUUCACUUUGCUGCACAAGUGAAACUAACACAACAUUGUAAAUCAACGAUACUUCAAUAAAAAUUAAAAGAAAAAUAAGUGAAAUACUUAAAGUUAAAAAAAAAAAAGCUUCCUAAUGAAAAGGAAUCCUCCAGCCCCAAAUGCACAUUUUUGCAAAAUCACCAUACCUGGGAGAAAUGAAAGUAAGAGAUGACAAAAGCAUUGCUCUCUUUUGACAAGAUAGCCAUCAUCUUUGCUUCAUCCCCCCAUAGUUUAUACCGUCUUGACCCUGGAAGUGGGGCAGAAAAAGGAAAAUGAGAGAUUGCUUUACUUUUUCCAAUAUUUUUAGUAUUUCCUCUUUAUUUCUCCUUCCACUGAGCUAUAUGAUGUUUUCUACACCUGAGGUGGGAUAUGGGAGAGAAGUGGAGGCUGACACCAUACAUAGUAGAAUAGGGAUCAUCUCUGGCAUUUAUCCAGUCAUUUAAUGCCUAUUAACAUAGUCCAAGAUUACAUUGGUUUCUUCAUCCUCCAUGAGACAGUGCAGGUACUUACUGAGCUUGUGCUCAUGAAAUAUCCCCCUUUCUACGCUUGUGCAAUUACCAUUUGAAGCACACAUUCAGGAUUCAAAUUUAUCUUUUUACUCAAUAUAG
Long non-coding RNA from Mesoplodon densirostris (Blainville's beaked whale), 1298 nucleotides. RefSeq lists it as uncharacterized. The transcript is spliced from 3 exons. The record is from RefSeq and is a predicted model, not a curated record. NCBI's taxonomy places the organism in Eukaryota, Metazoa, Chordata, Mammalia, Artiodactyla, Ziphiidae.